RNAcentral lists this transfer RNA (74 nucleotides) under Pythium insidiosum. RNAcentral describes it as "tRNA-Glu". It matches the Rfam family "tRNA". Rfam says of the family: Transfer RNA (tRNA) molecules are approximately 80 nucleotides in length. Their secondary structure includes four short double-helical elements and three loops (D, anti-codon, and T loops). Further hydrogen bonds mediate the characteristic L-shaped molecular structure. tRNAs have two regions of fundamental functional importance: the anti-codon, which is responsible for specific mRNA codon recognition, and the 3' end, to which the tRNAs corresponding amino acid is attached (by aminoacyl-tRNA synthetases). tRNAs cope with the degeneracy of the genetic code in two manners: having more than one tRNA (with a specific anti-codon) for a particular amino acid; and 'wobble' base-pairing, i.e. permitting non-standard base-pairing at the 3rd anti-codon position. Lineage: Eukaryota; Oomycota; Peronosporomycetes; Pythiales; Pythiaceae. The record is from RNAcentral.
UCCCAGAUAGUCUAGGUGGUUUAGGAUAGCUGGCUCUCACCCAGCAGACCCGGUUCGAGUCCCCGGUCUGGGAA